RNAcentral lists this transfer RNA (74 nucleotides) under Bacillus thuringiensis serovar kurstaki str. HD-1. RNAcentral describes it as "tRNA-Met (CAT) (tRNA-Met-CAT-2-1)". It matches the Rfam family "tRNA". Rfam says of the family: Transfer RNA (tRNA) molecules are approximately 80 nucleotides in length. Their secondary structure includes four short double-helical elements and three loops (D, anti-codon, and T loops). Lineage: Bacteria; Bacillati; Bacillota; Bacilli; Caryophanales; Bacillaceae. The record is from RNAcentral.
GGCGGUGUAGCGCAGCUGGCUAGAGCGUACGGUUCAUACCCGUGGGGUCGGGGGUUCGAUCCCCUCCGCCGCUA